AAGUCGUAGCAAGGUUUCCGUAGGUGAACCUGCGGAAGGAUCAUUAAAGAAUUCGGCUUCGCGGCCAAGUUCUCACCCUUUGUAUACCGAAACUAUGUUGCUUUGGCAGGCCCCUGCAUUUCUCGGUCGCCGCAGUGUUAACACUAGAAUCUCUGCUGUCUGAGUACUAUACAAUAGUUAAAA
RNAcentral lists this unclassified non-coding RNA (183 nucleotides) under plant metagenome. RNAcentral describes it as "partial contains small subunit ribosomal RNA and internal transcribed spacer 1". The stretch from base 1 to 46 matches the Rfam family "Eukaryotic small subunit ribosomal RNA", at positions 1786 to 1831 of the family's 1831-position model. The record is from RNAcentral.